CGACUUGGAGGUUGGGCCCUUGAGGCGUGGCUUCCGGAGCUAACGCGUUAAGUCGACCGCCUGGGGAGUACGGCCGCAAGGUUAAAACUCAAAUGAAUUGACGGGGGCCCGCACAAGCGGUGGAGCAUGUGGUUUAAUUCGAUGCAACGCGAAGAACCUUACCUACUCUUGACAUCCAGAGAACUUUCCAGAGAUGGAUUGGUGCCUUCGGGAACUCUGAGACAGGUGCUGCAUGGCUGUCGUCAGCUCGUGUUGUGAAAUGUUGGGUUAAGUCCCGCAACGAGCGCAACCCUUAUCCUUUGUUGCCAGCGGUCCGGCCGGGAACUCAAAGGAGACUGCCAGUGAUAAACUGGAGGAAGGUGGGGAUGACGUCAAGUCAUCAUGGCCCUUACGAGUAGGGCUACACACGUGCUACAAUGGCGCAUACAAAGAGAAGCGACCUCGCGAGAGCAAGCGGACCUCAUAAAGUGCGUCGUAGUCCGGAUUGGAGUCUGCAACUCGACUCCAUGAAGUCGGAAUCGCUAGUAAUCGUAGAUCAGAAUGCUACGGUGAAUACGUUCCCGGGCCUUGUACACACCGCCCGUCACACCAUGGGAGUGGGUUGCAAAAGAAGUAGGUAGCUUAAACUUCGGGAGGGCGCUUACCACUUUGUGAUUCAUGACUGGGGUGAAGUCGUAACAAGGUACC
This 687-nucleotide ribosomal RNA is filed under the name uncultured bacterium. RNAcentral describes it as "bacterial SSU rRNA". It matches the Rfam family "Bacterial small subunit ribosomal RNA", at positions 813 to 1500 of the family's 1533-position model. The record is from RNAcentral.